Molecule: long non-coding RNA, 199 nt
Filed under: Elaeis guineensis (African oil palm)
Lineage: Eukaryota; Viridiplantae; Streptophyta; Magnoliopsida; Arecales; Arecaceae
Description: long non-coding RNA (EGUI_LNC059243)
Source: RNAcentral
AUAUUGAAUUUUCAUAAAACGAUCAACUUUCAUUCAUUGAUUUCAAAAAGAUAAUUACAAAGAUAGUGAGUAUAAAAAGUGAUCAAUAUAUCUAAAAUGCAUGAAACCAAAAUAUGGAUCAUUAGGAGAACUAUAACUCUACAAGAUGAAUUCUAACAUCCUAUGAAGGUAGAAUAGGGUGGCUUUAAGAAUUGGGUCC